GAUGAACGCUAGCUCCAGGCUUAACACAUGCAAGUCGAGGGACCGGCGCACGGGUGAGUCACACGUAUCCAACCUGCCCUUUCCUCGGGGAUAGCCUUUCGAAAGAACGAUUAAUACCCGAUGUAAAGGCUGGGGAUGCGUUCCAUUAGGUUGUUGGUGAGUUAAAGGCUCACCAAGCCUUCGAUGGCUAGGGGUUCUGCGAGGAAGGUCCCCCACAGUGGAACUGAGACACGGUCCAAACGCGUACGGGAGGAAGAAGGGAGGAAUAGUGGUCAAUGGGCGUUAGCCUGAACCAGCCAAGUAGCGUGAAGGAUGAAGGCUUAUGGGGCGUAAACUUCUUUUAGAUAAGAAAAUGGAUUAUAUGAAUAAGGAUCGGCUAACUCCGUGCCAGCAGCCGCGGUAAUAC
Molecule: ribosomal RNA, 406 nt
Filed under: uncultured bacterium
Lineage: Bacteria
Description: partial 16S ribosomal RNA
Rfam family: Bacterial small subunit ribosomal RNA
Source: RNAcentral